CUCUAGAUCAUCAUUUUUGUCAUUACCAUAAUUCAACGCUACAUAUUACCUACGCUACAAACACCAUGAGAUGUGUUAGAAUCGUUGUUUACUAAGAUAUUUUUGGUAGGUUUAGAAACUUGGGUGUGUCAGUUUCUGAUUUCUCCGAUCUGUUCUAAUACUCUGGAGGAGCCAGCUAUUAUUAACCAGGUUGAAGGAAGGAAAUUUGUUGCGAACAAGGACAUGGGUGGUCUUGAUCACUUGUCUUUUGGGGAUUUGCUGGCCUUAGCCAACACUGCAUCAUUCUGUUUCUCCUGUCAGAUCCCAAAACCUACAAGUUGAAACCGUAGCACAGUUUGGCGUUGUUUUCCUUCUUUGAACAGGUAGUAUAGUUUUUGGUAGAACGGAACAGCACAAGUUCUCUUCAUGGUCAAGUUACAAUAGGGAUACUUAUCUUUCAGGAGAAAGCAAUUAGUCAACAUUGUUGGAUUGGGGUUCAGAAUGAGAAGCUUGCUAGGUUCGGGAGAAGCUCCAUCUACAAGUGGAGAAGUUGCAGCAAAGCAAAAACACAUUACGGAGUUUAUCUCGCAAUCUGAAAGAAAGAUAUGGCAUUAUCGAAUCAACUAACGUUGCUGUGAUCUAUUUUUAAUAUGUCAUGUUUGUUUAAAC
Molecule: long non-coding RNA, 648 nt
Organism: Camelina sativa (false flax)
Lineage: Eukaryota; Viridiplantae; Streptophyta; Magnoliopsida; Brassicales; Brassicaceae
Source: RefSeq, a predicted model, not a curated record